CCAGGCUCGAAAUGUAAUAGACGUACCCAAGAGAUGGUUAUUUCCGCAAGGACUUGUUAUAUAGGUGCUGCAUGGCUGUCGUCAGCUCGUGCCGUGAGGUGUUUGGUUAAGUCCAGCAACGAGCGCAACCCUUAUCAUUAGUUGCCAACGCGUCAAGGCGGGGACUCUAGUGAGACUGCCUGGGUUACCAGGAGGAAGGUGAGGAUGACGUCAAGUCCGCAUGGCCUUUAUGUCUGGGGCUACACACGUGCUACAAUGGUCGGUACAGAAGGCAGCAAGACCGCAAGGUGGAGCAAAUCCGUAAAGCCGAUCUCAGUUCAGAUUGUAGUCUGCAACUCGACUACAUGAAGUUGGAAUUGCUAGUAAUGACGUGUCAGCAACAACGUCGUGAAUACGUUCCCGGGCCUUGUACACACCGCCCGUCACAUCAUGGGAGUUGGUUUUACCCGAAGUCGAUGACUUAAGCCGCAAGGCAGAGAGUCGCCUAAGGUAAGGCUGAUGACUGGGAUG
RNAcentral lists this ribosomal RNA (510 nucleotides) under uncultured bacterium. Its description in RNAcentral is "bacterial SSU rRNA". It matches the Rfam family "Bacterial small subunit ribosomal RNA", at positions 975 to 1482 of the family's 1533-position model. The record is from RNAcentral.